AGUGAACGCUGGCGGUAGGCCUAACACAUGCAAGUCGAACGGCAGCACAGUAAGAGCUUGCUCUUACGGGUGGCGAGUGGCGGACGGGUGAGGAAUACAUCGGAAUCUACUUUUUCGUGGGGGAUAACGUAGGGAAACUUACGCUAAUACCGCAUACGACCUACGGGUGAAAGCAGGGGAUCUUCGGACCUUGCGCGAUUGAAUGAGCCGAUGUCGGAUUAGCUAGUUGGCGGGGUAAAGGCCCACCAAGGCGACGAUCCGUAGCUGGACUGAGAGGAUGGUCGCCAACCCUGGAACUGGGACACGGUCCAGACUCCUACGGGAGGCAGCAGUGGGGAAUAUUGGACAAUGGGCGCAAGCCUGACCCAGCCAUCCCGCGUGGGUGAAGAAGGCCUUCGGGUUGUAAAGCCCUUUUGUUGGGAAAGAAAAGCAGCAGGUUAAUACCCCGCUGUUCUGACGGUACCCAAAGAAUAAGCACCGGCUAACUUCGUG
RNAcentral lists this ribosomal RNA (492 nucleotides) under uncultured bacterium. RNAcentral describes it as "partial 16S ribosomal RNA". It matches the Rfam family "Bacterial small subunit ribosomal RNA", at positions 29 to 507 of the family's 1533-position model. The record is from RNAcentral.